GACGAACGCUGGCGGCGUGCCUAACACAUGCAAGUCGAGCGGGGUUGAAGCGAGAGGUAACUCGAACUUCUACCUAGCGGCGGACGGGUGAGUAACGCGUGGGCAACCUGCCUCAAGGUCUGGGAUAACAGCCCGAAAGGGCUGCUAAUACCGGGUAUGCUUGUGGCCUCGCAUGGGGCUAUGAGCAAAGGGGAAACCCGCCUUGAGAUGGGCCCGCGUCCCAUCAGCUAGUUGGUGAGGUAACAGCUCACCAAGGCGACGACGGGUAGCCGGCCUGAGAGGGUGACCGGCCACACUGGGACUGAGACACGGCCCAGACUCCUACGGGGGGCAGCAGUGGGGGAUCUUGCACAAUGGGCGAAAGCCUGAUGCAGCGACGCCGCGUGAGCGAAGAAGGCCUUCGGUUGUAAGACUCUGUCUGGAGGGACGGAAGGAAGUAGACGGUACCGUCCGGACGGAAGGACCACGGCUAACUACGUGCCAGCAGCCGCGGUAACUACGUCUCUA
RNAcentral lists this ribosomal RNA (507 nucleotides) under uncultured bacterium. RNAcentral describes it as "bacterial SSU rRNA". It matches the Rfam family "Bacterial small subunit ribosomal RNA", at positions 28 to 537 of the family's 1533-position model. The record is from RNAcentral.